This is a long non-coding RNA of Mercenaria mercenaria, 2185 nucleotides long. RefSeq lists it as uncharacterized. The record is from RefSeq and is a predicted model, not a curated record. NCBI's taxonomy places the organism in Eukaryota, Metazoa, Mollusca, Bivalvia, Venerida, Veneridae. The transcript has 4 exons.
UGGUGGUAAAGCGAGGACGUGUUAUCUGAUUGUUUUUUAGGUUCUUUGUCUGUUGUUAGGUCAGGGAUUUUGCAAUGGUUAGCGGUGUGAAGGACAUGUCAGCUGUCUAGGUCGUUGGGGAACUGCCACUGGUAUGUGGUAAGGAGGUUCGCAUGGUUGUGGACGAGACCCAGUCACUAGACGAGGCUUUUUCUGCUGACCAGGUGUCAAAUGGGGUUCCCUUGGUGCCAGCCUAUAGGACAUACUUUGGGGAUGGGAAGAUCUUCAGCUUCCAGAGUUGGACCAGUGGAGGUUCUGCUACCAGAUAUAGUUCUUUCCAAGGUUGCAUGUUGACUGCAACAGACUACUAACACAGGUGUUGGAUGCCACAGCUGACACUGUUCUAAAGAGUGAUCUGCAGUUGGGAGAGCUGAUACCGGUAGUUUGUUUUCAGUUUUGUACAUAUUUUAAUGUUAUGACAUGUUUUAAAAUCUGAAUAAAAUGAAUAAAUACCAUUUUUUUUAUAUACGUUAUGAUUUAAUUGCGUGCGUAGGCGGCAUUGUGGGAACGAGGGCGGGACGCGCGGUUUUUUUCCAUUGCUGUGGUAGAUUUUUGGAAGGUGUUUAUUUUUGUAGGUUAUUUGUUCGGAGGCAGUUGGUUUUUGUUUGGAGAUGGUUUGCUUCUGUUCUUUUUAGGUUGCAUGUUGACUGCAACAGACUACUAACACAGGUGUUGAAUGCCACAGCUGACACUGCUCUAAAGGUAAUAGACACAUAUUUUAUACACCAUUUAUCCUCUGACAAUUUAAUAAAAACUGGUAUUAUAAUAUAUAAAACAUUGCAGUUUUAACUUUUAACAGUAUAAUUUGUACAUCUUAAUAUCUGUAAUUCCGGUUGUAGAAGGUGUUUUUUUAUUGGUUAAUUCAAUAUUCCUCUUUCUUGCUGUUCCCCCAAAAUGUGAAACCAAGGAUAAGUAUUAGCUCAUCUGUCCAAUCUUCACCUCAACGCAACGGUCAUAUCUUAUUAUAAAUUUAUAAUAAGAUACAACUUUGUUGCGUUGAGGUGACGACAUAGUGACAAGAUGAGCUUUUGUGAUCACCCUUCGUCCGAGGUCCUUUGGAUAGGGAACUCUGCAAUUGCAGGGCCAUUCUUAGGUGUCCUUUUCUUUUUCAGCUAGAUAGGGAACUAAAUUGUGUAGAUAGGGAAGCCUGUAACUUUGCAGCCGGAUAAUGCAUCUCCUAUGGAAAGGCAUUUGUAGCCUGUAACUGUGCAGCCGGAUAAUGCCUCUCAUAUUGAAAGGCAUUUGAAGCCUCAAGUAUACAGCCGGAUAAUGCCUCUCCUAUGGAAAGCAUUUGAAGUAUGUAAGUAUGCAGCUGGAUAAUGCCUCUCCUAUGGAAACCCAUUCGAAGUCUGCUAAAAAAUAAUAUAACUAAUCUUUAGAAUCAAAUGGGUGGUAUCAAGAACAGUAAGUAAUUGCAAGUUGUGAAAGAGGAUCAGGACAUUACGUCGGCCAGGCUCACAUUUUGAGGGACUGAAAAUUGUUUAAGCUAAAUCUCUUAAGCUAUUGAGUGUUAAAUUCUUUUUCUGAAUGAAAAUUGAGUUGUCUUUUGCAACCGGAAUUACAGAGAUAAUGUUUUUAUUGCAAUAUUUUUAUGUGUGUGUCGUAUAGAUUUUUUUUUCUAUUUUCAGAGUGAUCUGCAGUUGGGAGAGCUGAUAGUUUGUUUUCAGUUUUGUACAUAAUUUAAUGUUAUGACAUGUUUUAAAAUCUGAAUAAAUAUACCAUUUUUUUUAUAAUUAUACGUUAUGAUUUAAUUGCGUGCGUAGGUGGCAUUGUGGGAACGAGGGCAGGACGCGCGUUUUUUUUCCAUAGCUGUGGUGGAUUUUUGGAAGGUGUUUAUUUUUGUAGGUUAUUUGUUCGGAGGCAGUUGGUUUUUGUUUGGAGAUGGUUUGCUUCUGUUCUUUGGGUUGCAUGUUGACUGCAACAGACUACUAACACGUGUUGGCUGCCACAGCUGACACUGCUCUAAAGGUAAUAGACACAUUUUUUAUACACCAUUUAUCCUCUGACAAUUUAAUAAAAACUGGUAUUAUAAUAUAUAAAACAUUGCAGUUUUAACUUUUAACAGUAUAAUUUAUGUACAUCUUAAUUUCUAUAAUUCCGGUUGUAGAAGGUGUUUUUUUUUAUUGGUUAUUUCAAUAUUCCUCUU